UAUGUAGCCUGAAUAAAUACAACAAGAAACAUUACUGAAAUACAACUCAUUGCUAAUACAUGGAAAUAACUUGCUUGCAUUGGGGACAUUUACGUGUAUCAGAACACUGGCAUUCUGAUGGCUAAUUUUAGCUGGAUCUUUAAUGGGUGCUCUGGAACAUAUACGGUCUAUUUGCUGAACGCCUGCGUUCUCUCCUAGAACGCGUGUGUUCUGCUGUGUUCUAUAAUGUUAUAUGCGAGAACACGUGUUCCAUUAAUAGAACAUCGGUGUUCUGUUUUUCUAACAAGCAUUCAAAGCUGUCCAUGCUCUGUGAUUCACAUCCGUUAUGUGAGAAACUGGCGUGACGUCGCAUGUAUUUGGCGCUACAAUUUCCUAUGAUCUGAGGUGUGUCUGUGGUAAGUAUCCAUCUAGGAAUACUUUUGUUUCAUAUUUAAUACGUACCUAAAAUAAUGUAAUAUUUCGGCGAUAUAUUCAUAUGCUGAUCCCAACGAAGUAUAACCGGCCCCUUACAAAACGCAUAGCAGACGACAUAUUACUCGCCAUUUUGACCGUCAUUUCUGCCAUUGUUCCACACGCUUUAUUUAUAAAUUAUGAGAUGAAAUUCCAAUCCAAAUUGCAAGUGUCACUAUUUGAACGUUUCCGUUUAUUUGAAUGAUGUUCAAAUAAAAUGAAUAUAUAUUUCAGGUUCUAUAUGAAUCGCCUGAAAGUGCGAAGCGGGCUACAUGCAACAAAUCUCUGAACAUCUAAAUUUGGGAUCCGAGGGCAUGAUCAGCAAGCAUCGACAAUGCAUCGAAAUCAGCAGAGAGUAGUGGUGCAUUGCAGAUAAUCAGUACCAUCCAUGGAAACUAUUGCACAGGGCACACGUCUACACAAAGGAGGAAAAGACACAAGGUUUUGCAGAUCAAAUAAGAAGGAUGUUGGGGAGUCAUAUUUGACAUGAAGUUUCCUGAAGCCUGCGAUGGUCAUGUCGCUGUUACGAACAUCGUCCUUUGGGGAUAUUUACCCACAAGAAACAUCUGCGAAGUACAUGCGCUUCGUGAAAGACUUGAGUAUGGAAGUAUGCUUCAAUUUGCUACACGACAGUUUGUAAUGUUUCAUGAAGAACUCUGACUCAUAAGUGACUUGAAUAUCCAUGAUCAUCCCAAACAAAUAUAAUAAAGAAUUCAUGGUUGCAGUUCAGAAUUUCGUCCGUGUGAUUUUAUGCCAGAGAAUAUGCAUGGGUGUAUGGUGUAAAUUCUUACACCUUGAAAAACAUCGGGUAAAUUGUAUUCGACACACACGAUGAGUUGUCGUUUCAGUAAUGUGGAAGUACGUGUCCGAGAACGUGUAGUGUUCUGAAUCUCGGUCCAGAACACUUUACAGGCGUUCUAAAAGCGUUACAUCGUCAGAACACGUUGAAGCGUUCUAAAUAUGUUUGUAGAACACUCCUGUUCUGGGUCGAGAACAUCAACGUUCAGAAUAUUUUCAGAACACAUGGACGCGUUCUAAAAGUGUUACAUCCAUGUGUUCUGUCUAGUGUUCAGAAGUGGAACACUUGG
This is a long non-coding RNA of Haliotis rufescens (red abalone), 1538 nucleotides long. RefSeq lists it as uncharacterized. The record is from RefSeq and is a predicted model, not a curated record. Lineage: Eukaryota; Metazoa; Mollusca; Gastropoda; Lepetellida; Haliotidae. The transcript is spliced from 3 exons.